RNAcentral lists this ribosomal RNA (253 nucleotides) under uncultured bacterium. RNAcentral's name for it is "partial 16S ribosomal RNA". It matches the Rfam family "Bacterial small subunit ribosomal RNA", at positions 524 to 776 of the family's 1533-position model. The record is from RNAcentral.
UACAGAGGUCUCAAGCGUUGUUCGGAUUCAUUGGGCGUAAAGGGUGCGUAGGCGGCGCGGUAAGUCGGGUGUGAAAUCUCGGAGCUUAACUCCGAAACUGCAUUCGAUACUGCCGUGCUUGAGGACUGGAGAGGAGACUGGAAUUUACGGUGUAGCGGUGAAAUGCGUAGAUAUCCGAAGGAACGCCGGUGGCGAAAGCGACGGGCUGGAUCUCUUCUGACGCUGAGGCGCGAAAGCUAGGGUAGCGAACGGG